Molecule: ribosomal RNA, 492 nt
Filed under: uncultured bacterium
Lineage: Bacteria
Description: partial 16S ribosomal RNA
Rfam family: Bacterial small subunit ribosomal RNA
Source: RNAcentral
AGUGAACGCUGGCGGUAGGCCUAACACAUGCAAGUCGAACGGCAGCACAGUAAGAGCUUGCUCUUACGGGUGGCGAGUGGCGGACGGGUGAGGAAUACAUCGGAAUCUACUUUUUCGUGGGGGAUAACGUAGGGAAACUUACGCUAAUACCGCAUACGACCUACGGGUGAAAGCAGGGGAUCUUCGGACCUUGCGCGAUUGAAUGAGCCGAUGUCGGGUUAGCUAGUUGGCGGGGUAAAGGCCCACCAAGGCGGCGAUCCGUAGCUGGUCUGAGAGGCUGAUCGGCCACACUGGAACUGAGACACGGUCCAGACUCCUACGGGAGGCAGCAGUGGGGAAUAUUGGACAAUGGGCGCAAGCCUGAUCCAGCCAUACCGCGUGGGUGAAGAAGGCCUUCGGGUUGUAAAGCCCUUUUGUUGGGAAAGAAAAGCAGCAGGUUGAUACCCCGCUGUUCUGACGGUACCCAAAGAAUAAGCACCGGCUAACUUCGUG